Molecule: ribosomal RNA, 475 nt
Filed under: uncultured bacterium
Lineage: Bacteria
Description: bacterial SSU rRNA
Rfam family: Bacterial small subunit ribosomal RNA
Source: RNAcentral
ACUCCUACGGGAGGCAGCAGUGGGGAAUUUUGGACAAUGGGGGCGAACCCUGAUCCAGCAAUGCCGCGUGAGUGAAGAAGGCCCUCGGGUUGUAAAGCUCUUUUGUCAGGGAAGAAACGGUGAUCUCUAAUAUAGAUUGCUAAUGACGGUACCUGAAGAAUAAGCACCGGCUAACUACGUGCCAGCAGCCGCGGUAAUACGUAGGGGUGCAAGCGUUAAUCGGAAUUACUGGGCGUAAAGCGUGCGCAGGCGGUUUUGUAAGUCUGAUGUGAAAUCCCCGGGGCUCAACCUGGGAACUGCAUUGGAGACUGCAAGGCUAGAGUGUGUCAGAGGGGGUAGAAUUCCACGUGUAGCAGUGAAAUGCGUAGAGAUGUGGAGGAAUACCGAUGGCGAAGGCAGCCCCCUGGGAUAACACUGACGCUCAUGCACGAAAGCGUGGGGAGCAAACAGGAUUAGAUACCCUGGUAGGAUAGCG